CAGCCCCUCGAGUGGUGGGGAUGAUUAUUUGGCCUAAAGCGUCCGUAGCCGGCCGAGCAAGUCUUCCGUUAAAUCCAGCGUCUCAAGCGUUGGACCGCGGGAGAUACUACACGGCUAGAGAGUGGGAGAGGUCAGCGGUAUUCUGGGGGUAGGGGCGAAAUCCUUUGAUCCCCGGAGGACCACCAGUGGCGAAGGCUGCUGACUAGAACACGUCUGACGGUCAGGGACGAAAGCUGGGGUAGCAAACCGGAUUAGAGACCCGAGUAGUCC
RNAcentral lists this ribosomal RNA (270 nucleotides) under uncultured archaeon. Its description in RNAcentral is "partial 16S ribosomal RNA". It matches the Rfam family "Archaeal small subunit ribosomal RNA", at positions 477 to 747 of the family's 1478-position model. The record is from RNAcentral.